This 103-nucleotide small nuclear RNA is filed under the name Felis catus (domestic cat). The record is from RNAcentral. Lineage: Eukaryota; Metazoa; Chordata; Mammalia; Carnivora; Felidae.
GUGCUCACUUCAGCAGCAGAUAUACCAAAAUUGGAAAGUUACGGAGAUUACCAGGGUGCCACGCAAGGAUGACACACAAAUUCAUGAAGUCUUCCAUAUUUUU